Molecule: long non-coding RNA, 1149 nt
Filed under: Zea mays
Lineage: Eukaryota; Viridiplantae; Streptophyta; Magnoliopsida; Poales; Poaceae
Description: drought responsive lncRNA
Source: RNAcentral
CGCUCAAAGGGAUAUGUAACCAAAGGAUACAACAACAAAAGUUUUUCAUCACAAGCAAUUUGGUGUAGGCUAGAGAAGCAACCUAACAAUAAUAGUAAAAGAUCUAUCUUAUGUCAUGGUUCAGUCACGUGGAUUGUUAAUUUCCCCACCAACAUCCAAACAUACUUUACAUACAAAAAAAAUUUGCUCGAAAUGACUACUGUAUUUAAAUCCAACUCCACCUAUCGAUCUGGUCAUGUGGAUUCCUAAUUGUUCUGCCUACUUAUCCAAACAAACCUUACAUACAGAAAAAAAGUAUUAAAAAUAACUAACAUAUUUAAACCAAACUGCUAGAGCCGACCAAAUUCAGAUAUCACGUGACAGUGUGACACCUAGCACCACAGUUGCAAUGAAAAAAAUAAACAGAAACAUUGGACUUCGAAAAUUCUAUUCGAAAUAAUAGAUAAGUACUACCUUUGUCCACUAGAAUCCAUUAUACUUGUGGAUGGAGGUACUAGUGUUUUGUCUAUAGUUCUAAACUUGGUGUGCAUAAUCAACAUCAUCAAUACCCUAAAGUAGUAACAGUUUUCACAAUUCACAAAAGCAAAAUGAAAUUGAAAUGCAGAAAAAAUGCAACCAUGCACCUCAUGCUACGGAUAUGAUUAUCCGUGGGUCAGGAGCAGUAUCUGACCUCACUAUUGCAUAAUAUAACACUAUUUGUUGCAAACAGAUACACUUAAAAAGGUUGAACCAGUUGCUAUUGAUGGUUUCCUAAGAUCGACAUGGAACCCUAGUAAGACUAUAAAUCUAGAACUAAUCAUGUGGGAUCAACCCACUACUGCAAGCCUAACAAUGAAGCAAACUGAGCUGGGUGUAAAAUAUUCUACACAGGAUAGAAAGGCUAGUGCUUUCAAGACACAUUGACAAAAUAUAUUGAUUUGUUAGUUGUAAAACAUGGAAUAGUAUCUAAGACUUCACUGGAUCAAAACAUCUAAAGGCUAGAAAAGAUGACUACAACUCUAGAACUGAACAUGUGCGAUCAAACCACUACUGUCAGCCCAAUGAUGGACUGAAUGGAGCUGGGUGUAACACAUUUCAUGUAGGACAAAAAAUAGUGCUCUCAAGAUGCAUGUCCAAAAAGUAGAUUAAUAAUGAGUUGGGUACAUGGCA